Molecule: ribosomal RNA, 1044 nt
Filed under: Camarosporidiella moricola
Lineage: Eukaryota; Fungi; Ascomycota; Dothideomycetes; Pleosporales
Description: SSU rRNA
Rfam family: Eukaryotic small subunit ribosomal RNA
Source: RNAcentral
CAUACAUGUCUAGUAUAGCAAUUAUACCGUGAAACUGCGAAUGGCUCAUUAAAUCAGUUAUCGUUUAUUUGAUAGUACCUUACUACAUGGAUAACCGUGGUAAUUCUAGAGCUAAUACAUGCUAAAAACCCCAACUUCGGGAGGGGUGUAUUUAUUAGAUAAAAAACCAACGCCCUUCGGGGCUUCUUGGUGAUUCAUAAUAACUUUACGGAUCGCAUGGCCUUGCGCCGGCGACGGUUCAUUCAAAUUUCUGCCCUAUCAACUUUCGAUGGUAAGGUAUUGGCUUACCAUGGUUUCAACGGGUAACGGGGAAUUAGGGUUCGAUUCCGGAGAGGGAGCCUGAGAAACGGCUACCACAUCCAAGGAAGGCAGCAGGCGCGCAAAUUACCCAAUCCCGACACGGGGAGGUAGUGACAAUAAAUACUGAUACAGGGCUCUUUUGGGUCUUGUAAUUGGAAUGAGUACAAUUUAAACCUCUUAACGAGGAACAAUUGGAGGGCAAGUCUGGUGCCAGCAGCCGCGGUAAUUCCAGCUCCAAUAGCGUAUAUUAAAGUUGUUGCAGUUAAAAAGCUCGUAGUUGAAACUUGGGUCUGGCUGGCAGGUCCGCCUCACCGCGUGUACUUGUCCGGCCGGGCCUUCCUUCUGGAGAACCUCAUGCCCUUCACUGGGCGUGUUGGGGACCAGGACUUUUACUUUGAAAAAAUUAGAGUGUUCAAAGCAGGCCUUUGCUCGAAUACGUUAGCAUGGAAUAAUAGAAUAGGACGUGCGGUCCUAUUUUGUUGGUUUCUAGGACCGCCGUAAUGAUUAAUAGGGACAGUCGGGGGCAUCAGUAUUCAAUUGUCAGAGGUGAAAUUCUUGGAUUUAUUGAAGACUAACUACUGCGAAAGCAUUUGCCAAGGAUGUUUUCAUUAAUCAGUGAACGAAAGUUAGGGGAUCGAAGACGAUCAGAUACCGUCGUAGUCUUAACCGUAAACUAUGCCGACUAGGGAUCGGGCGAUGUUCUUUUUCUGACUCGCUCGGCACCUUACGAGAAAUCAAAGUUUU